Molecule: ribosomal RNA, 301 nt
Filed under: uncultured bacterium
Lineage: Bacteria
Description: partial 16S ribosomal RNA
Rfam family: Bacterial small subunit ribosomal RNA
Source: RNAcentral
CAGUCGCCACGGUAAUACGGAGGGUGCAAGCGUUAAUCGGAAUUACUGGGCGUAAAGCGCACGCAGGCGGUCUGUUAAGUCAGAUGUGAAAUCCCCGGGCUCAACCCGGGAACUGCAUUUGAAACUGGCAGGCUUGAGUCUUGUAGAGGGGGGUAGAAUUCCAGGUGUAGCGGUGAAAUGCGUAGAGAUCUGGAGGAAUACCGGUGGCGAAGGCGGCCCCCUGGACAAAGACUGACGCUCAGGUGCGAAAGCGUGGGGAGCAAACAGGAUUAGAGACCCCAGUAGUCCCUGUCUCUUAUAC